This 532-nucleotide ribosomal RNA is filed under the name uncultured bacterium. Its description in RNAcentral is "bacterial SSU rRNA". It matches the Rfam family "Bacterial small subunit ribosomal RNA", at positions 976 to 1509 of the family's 1533-position model. The record is from RNAcentral.
AGGUCUUGACAUCCCUUGACAACUCCAGAGAUGGAGCGUUCCCUUCGGGGACAAGGUGACAGGUGGUGCAUGGUUGUCGUCAGCUCGUGUCGUGAGAUGUUGGGUUAAGUCCCGCAACGAGCGCAACCCUUAUUACUAGUUGCCAGCAUUCAGUUGGGCACUCUAGUGAGACUGCCGGUGACAAACCGGAGGAAGGUGGGGAUGACGUCAAAUCAUCAUGCCCCUUAUGACCUGGGCUACACACGUGCUACAAUGGCGUAUACAACGAGUUGCCAACCCGCGAGGGUGAGCUAAUCUCUUAAAGUACGUCUCAGUUCGGAUUGUAGGCUGCAACUCGCCUACAUGAAGUCGGAAUCGCUAGUAAUCGCGGAUCAGCACGCCGCGGUGAAUACGUUCCCGGGUCUUGUACACACCGCCCGUCACACCAUGAGAGUUUGUAACACCCAAAGCCGGUGGGGUAACCUUCGGGAGCCAGCCGUCUAAGGUGGGACAGAUGAUUAGGGUGAAGUCGUAACAAGGUAAGCGUAGCGAG